Long non-coding RNA from Gavialis gangeticus (Gharial), 1266 nucleotides. RefSeq lists it as uncharacterized. Lineage: Eukaryota; Metazoa; Chordata; Crocodylia; Gavialidae. The transcript is spliced from 2 exons. The record is from RefSeq and is a predicted model, not a curated record.
UGCUAAGAGGCUAGAAAAUGGAUUUAUAUAGGAUGGUUUGGAUCGGGAUGAUGCUGCUUCUGGUGGGAUUGGACUAGAUGACCUCUAGAGGUCCUUUCCAGCCCUACUUCUGUAUGAUUCUAUGAACAGUAUAUCAGCUGGAGUCAGUAUCAUAAUGAGGGAGGGGCAACUGGGGCAGCUGCCCUGGGUGCCAACUUGGGAAGCAGAAAAAACUUCACACUAUCGUGCCAAUUGCAGUCAAAAGUUGCAGCUGCCUUUGUGUGUUGCAGGUGCCCUGGGCUCCUGGGCCACUUGGUGACACCUCUAGCUGCAAUGCUUCUCUGUUGUGUCUGGGCUCAGGUGGCAAAAUGCAGGUUCUGCUCCAAACUUGCAGCAUAUCUGUGUAUUGGCUUAUUCCUGUUACUCACUAGUGUUUUGAACAUCUGACACAUGAGAGCAAGUGACCCUCUCAAAGGCUAUUUCCUACACUGACACCACUGGUUUCUCUGCUUUUUGAAAGGCAGCAAUGGAUUGGAGACAGGGAGUCGGGUCUCCUGGGUCCUAUUUCCAAAUUUGUCAGUGGCUUGUUUAACAUUGGACAAGUCACGUGCCUAUUUCUAUAGAAUAUGAUGGCCUAGUUUGUUAAUAUUUGAGAAGUGCUUAGAAAUAAGAAAGGGAAAGGAACUAGAGAAGGACCCAGUAUUAUGUCGUUAUCAGGUGUGAGUGCUUCUAGCAGAAAUAGCAUCAUGAGAAUGAUCCUACGAUCCUGAGCUUCAUUUUGCUAACUAGCAGCUCCUUUAACAGUGCUCUCUUGUAGCUGGCUCUGAGUUUGCUUGCAGGAUGAUCCUAUGUCUGGAUUUUGGCUGUUAACCAUCUCUUUGUACGGGGCAGAGGCAGCAGGCCUGUGAGCUACCACCUGUUGUUAAUCUAGCCCUGGCUAAUCCAUUCUGCACUGUGUCAGCAGUUCAAAAGGGCACUGUUAGUAUUUUUUGCCAACUUCAAUUAAUGUGAGAUUUCAGAGGCCCCCUCUGAUCACAUUUCAUCUGUCAUGAAUCAGGAACAAAACAGACAGAUUCCAGUUGAGAGGAGAAAAGAGAAGGAGUUUAUUGCAAACACAACAACAACAGCAACAACAACCUUUGGAUCCGCUCAGCCAAUGCUGUAGGUAACUCAUCUCAUCUCCAGCAAUUUGACUUCUUUUUUUAAAAAAAGCACCCAGAAAGUCCAACCCCUCCCACCUCCCCUAAACACUGUAAGUGCAAUAACUUACUUCCAAAAAAAAAAAAA